UACGUAGGGGGCAAGCGUUGUCCGGAAUCAUUGGGCGUAAAGGGUCCGUAGGCGGCUCAGCAAGUCGGGUGUGAAAUCUCCAGGCUCAACCUGGAGGUGCCACUCGAUACUGCUGUGGCUUGAGUCCAGUAGGGGAGCAUGGAAUUCCCGGUGUAGCGGUGAAAUGCGCAGAUAUCGGGAGGAACACCAGUGGCGAAGGCGGUGCUCUGGGCUGGAACUGACGCUGAUGGACGAAAGCGUGGGUAGCAAACAGG
Molecule: ribosomal RNA, 254 nt
Filed under: uncultured bacterium
Lineage: Bacteria
Description: partial 16S ribosomal RNA
Rfam family: Bacterial small subunit ribosomal RNA
Source: RNAcentral